GAUGAACGCUGGCGGCGUGCUUAACACAUGCAAGUCGAACGGUGAAGGCGGAGCUUGCUCUGCUGGAUCAGUGGCGAACGGGUGAGUAACACGUGAGCAAUCUGCCCCUGACUCUGGGAUAAGCGCUGGAAACGGCGUCUAAUACUGGAUACGAGCUGCGAAGGCAUCUUCAGCAGCUGGAAAGAACUUCGGUCAGGGAUGAGCUCGCGGCCUAUCAGCUUGUUGGUGAGGUAACGGCUCACCAAGGCGUCGACGGGUAGCCGGCCUGAGAGGGUGACCGGCCACACUGGGACUGAGACACGGCCCAGACUCCUACGGGAGGCAGCAGUGGGGAAUAUUGCACAAUGGGCGAAAGCCUGAUGCAGCAACGCCGCGUGAGGGACGACGGCCUUCGGGUUGUAAACCUCUUUUAGCAGGGAAGAAGCGAAAGUGACGGUACCUGCAGAAAAAGCGCCGGCUAACUACGUA
RNAcentral lists this ribosomal RNA (468 nucleotides) under uncultured bacterium. RNAcentral describes it as "partial 16S ribosomal RNA". It matches the Rfam family "Bacterial small subunit ribosomal RNA", at positions 28 to 507 of the family's 1533-position model. The record is from RNAcentral.